Marmota monax (woodchuck) is the source of this 1533-nucleotide RNA transcript. RefSeq lists it as uncharacterized. Lineage: Eukaryota; Metazoa; Chordata; Mammalia; Rodentia; Sciuridae. The record is from RefSeq and is a predicted model, not a curated record. The transcript is spliced from 2 exons.
GAAAUCACUGCCCUCCACACCUCCACCCUCCCGUGGCGGCGUCGGGAACAAAUUCUCAGACCUAUUACCCUCCACCCGCACCUUGGCCAGAUACUGGGCAUAUUCUGGAGCCUCCAGAGCCCAAGAAAGGCAAGGAGAAAAGAGAAAGAAAAGGAGAGAGGACGAGAGAGGAUAAAGAACGGAAGGGAAAUAAAGCAACCCAGCGGCCGCGCGCUCCUUUUGGCAAAAUUAGCUUCCCCAAGGAUCACUCAAUCUAAUUCAGAUCACAAAAGCCAAUGCUGCAGCCCAAGGGCUGAAGCCGGGGUAACCCAGUCGGGAGUCCCCCAGAGGUACGCCGAUCCGGAGAACUAAGGCACGGAGAGGGAAAAUGGGUGUGUGGGCUGGGCCUGGCUGGCCGGAGGCCGGGCUCCGAACAAAGCCGCCCAGCUCCCCCUACCUGGGGCUUGGGCGGCGCCGCCCCGCAGGGAGCCGCCCCAGCCCCACAGUCACUAGCCCCGGCUGGGGGUCGCAGAGGACGCCCUCCCCGCCAGCGAACUGCGCCCCUUCCGGACAAUGGGCCCCCUCCCCCGCCUCCAGGCGGGCAGAUACAAAGGGAGAGGAGAGCAGCCGGCGCGGAGCCAAGCGUCCGGAAAGUGAAGGCGGGGAAGGGAGAGAGGACGCGAGAAGAACGCGGCGGACGCGGGAGCCCGCGGGCCUCUGCCGGGCCGUCCAGGGCGCUGCCCCUCCGCGGCGGCGGAGGCGGGAGAGUGGUCUGGCCGUCCCUUCGACCGCCCAGCAGAGGAGGGAAGAAAGCGCCACACACAAAGAGGAGCGGGACUCCCACCAUCCGACAGCGCCGAAGCGGGACCGCCUGACGCGCUCUGGCUGCCGACGGUCAGCGGCGCCCGCCAGCCCGCGCCUCCAGGGAGCUGGGGAACCGUGCGGGGCGCCCCUCUUUCGCACUCACCCACAGCUCCGUGCCCCAGCUCAUGGCGGAACUUGAGGCGACUCGGAUCGUCUGGCAGAUCCGCUGUCGGUACGUCCGUCGGCUUCGCAGUCAAUGUGUCCGACUUCUUCUUCUGGCUAGCCGGCAGGCUCGCGUCUGAACGCCUUUGCCUCGAAAGGUGCCGCCACCGCCGGGUUCCCCAGCGGACCGUCCGCCCCACUCCUGUCGCCACUCGGAUUCCUGCCUCCAAGAUGGAAAGGGAGAGGAGGAAAAGACGCCCACUGCCCCUUCUCUGCCCGGAGCUCCCUUAACUGAGGCAACUGCAGACACCCGCAUUUCCCGCCGGUGGUUUCCUCGUCUUCGGAGCACCCUGACAAAGAAACCUCAUCCACAUCCUCGGGUUUAGAUUGAGGAGGGGUGGGUGUGUGGGUGUGUGGGGCGCGGUGUUAAUUAAAAAUCUUGUUGGUUUAGGAGAUCUCUCUUUUCAGGCCUGAUGCUUCGAUCUUAACGUUUUUGGGAAUCAUUGAAACGUGGAAGGUUGAACGUCAAAUGCGAAUACAGCAUGCCUCCGAUUCUCUUUUUAAUAAAGUAUUAUAAUUUUACUAUAA